CCCUUAGAUGUUCUGGGCCGCACGCGCGCUACACUGACGGAUUCAACGAGCUUACAACCUUGGCCGAAAGGUCUGGGUAAUCUCCAAAAUCCGUCGUGAUGGGGAUAGAUUAUUGCAAUUAUUAAUCUUCAACGAGGAAUGCCUAGUAAGCGCAAGUCAUCAGCUUGCGUUGAUUACGUCCCUGCCCUUUGUACACACCGCCCGUCGCUCCUACCGAUUGAAUGGUCCGGUGAAGCGCUUGGACUAUGGUUUUCUGAUGGUCCGCCGUUGGAUUACCGUGGGAAGUUCGUUAAACCUUAUCAUUUAGAGGAAGGAGAAGUCGUAACA
This 327-nucleotide ribosomal RNA is filed under the name uncultured eukaryote. Its description in RNAcentral is "partial 18S ribosomal RNA". It matches the Rfam family "Eukaryotic small subunit ribosomal RNA", at positions 1470 to 1796 of the family's 1831-position model. The record is from RNAcentral.